AUGCAAGUCGAGGGGUAUAGUUCUUCGGAACUAGAGACCGGCGCACGGGUGCGUAACGCGUAUGCAAUCUACCUUUUACAGGGGAAUAGCCCAGAGAAAUUUGGAUUAAUGCCCCAUAGUAUAGUUUUUUCGCAUGAAGAGAUUAUUAAAGUUCCAACGGUAAAAGAUGAGCAUGCGUCCCAUUAGCUAGAUGGUAAGGUAACGGCUUACCAUGGCGACGAUGGGUAGGGGUCCUGAGAGGGAGAUCCCCCACACUGGUACUGAGACACGGACCAGACUCCUACGGGAGGCAGCAGUGAGGAAUAUUGGUCAAUGGACGCAAGUCUGAACCAGCCAUGCCGCGUGCAGGAUGACGGUCCUAUGGAUUGUAAACUGCUUUUGUACGAGAAGAAACACUGCUACGUGUAGCAGCUUGACGGUAUCGUAAGAAUAAGGAUCGGCUAACUCCGUGCCAGCAGCCGCGGUAAUACGGAGGAUCCAAGCGUUAUCCGGAAUCAUUGGGUUUAAAGGGUCCGUAGGCGGUCAGAUAAGUCAGUGGUGAAAGCCCAUCGCUCAACGGUGGAACGGCCAUUGAUACUGUCUGACUUGAAUUAUUAGGAAGUAACUAGAAUAUGUAGUGUAGCGGUGAAAUGCUUAGAGAUUACAUGGAAUACCAAUUGCGAAGGCAGGUUACUACUAAUGGAUUGACGCUGAUGGACGAAAGCGUGGGUAGCGAACAGGAUUAGAUACCCUGGUAGUCCACGCCGUAAACGAUGGAUACUAGCUGUUGGGAGCAAUCUCAGUGGCUAAGCGAAAGUGAUAAGUAUCCCACCUGGGGAGUACGUUCGCAAGAAUGAAACUCAAAGGAAUUGACGGGGGCCCGCACAAGCGGUGGAGCAUGUGGUUUAAUUCGAUGAUACGCGAGGAACCUUACCAACGCUUAAAUGUAGAUUGACCGGUUUGGAAACAGAUCUUUCGCAAGACAAUUUACAAGGUGCUGCAUGGUUGUCGUCAGCUCGUGCCGUGAGUGUCAGGUUAAGUCCUAUAACGAGCGCAACCCUGUGUAGCUGCAGCGAGUAUGUCGGAACUCUACAGACUGCAGUGCAAACUGUNAGAAGUGGGGAUGACGUCAAUCAUCACGNCCUACGC
Molecule: ribosomal RNA, 1128 nt
Filed under: Flavobacterium sp. HMD1068
Lineage: Bacteria; Pseudomonadati; Bacteroidota; Flavobacteriia; Flavobacteriales; Flavobacteriaceae
Description: bacterial SSU rRNA
Rfam family: Bacterial small subunit ribosomal RNA
Source: RNAcentral